Oryzias latipes (Japanese medaka) is the source of this 446-nucleotide non-coding RNA. NCBI's taxonomy places the organism in Eukaryota, Metazoa, Chordata, Actinopteri, Beloniformes, Adrianichthyidae. The record is from the annotation of a RefSeq genome assembly.
CUAGGUGAUGCCUCGCCCUUGCUGACAGUGCUGUCCCCCUCCAUGAAGGAGCUGCAGCAGGGGAAGGCCACACUCAUGUGUGUGGCCAACAAGGGCUUCCCCUCAGACUGGACUCUGUCCUGGGAGGUGGUCGGCAGCAGCAGCUGGGAGGAGAGCAGGAGCCCCGGGGUGCUGCAGAAGGACGGCCUCUACAGCUGGAGCAGCACCCUGAGGCUCUCUGCAGACCAGUGGGAGAAGGUGACCUGUCAGGCCAAGAGAGGAUCCAAGGAUCCAGUCUUAGAGACUUUCAGGAGAGACCAGUGCUCCCAGUCCUGAACUGGAAAUUUCUGACUCUCUUGCUGACUAACUCUCUCUUUAAAAUGAUUUUAAAUCUAUUCUUACUUUAGUCCUUUGCUCUUUUCAAGUUUUGUGUUGUCUUCAAAUAAAUACAAAUGUCUCCAGUUUGA